UACUAUUGGCGAGUUUCUAUAAUUAUACAUGAACAGGAGCUAUUGACUUCAACCUGGACAUAUAGAAACAAUCUAUUGAAUUACAAAACUAAUUGAAUCAUGUCAAAAUUACUGAAGUACUAAUAAUCCAAACCAAAUUAUUGACUAUAAACUCACACAUUCACAAAUACUAGUGCUAUAAUCUAUGCAUCCAAACACUCCAAUCAAAUACAAGUAUUACAACCCUGGACAGUUUGUCAUAACAUGAUUUAAACAUUGAGUUUAUUCCAAAUAAAAUAUUAGACUAAUGAAUCAGUGAGCUUCGAAGAUGAUCAUGCAGCAAAUGUGUUUUCCAUUUCAUGAAGGAGUUUACAUUGAUUCCAAAUGUGUACCUCGAAGGGAUUUGACAGAGGAAGAGAUCAGUUACAGUAAACAGAUGAGCAGCAGCACAGUAGUACUUGAAAACCCAGAAAAUAGAAGGAAUAGCUCAGAAACAAAUUGAAUAUAGCAGGAUUAGCAACAGAUGAUUCCAGCAGUAGAGAAAAACCAAAUCAAACCCCAGUAUUGUUUCAAAUCCAAACAGGACCGCAAAAUAAACCCAAAAACAGUACCAGAAUGCUUAGCUAUUCGAUCCAAAUCUAAUCGACCAGCUACUAAAUACCUCCAGAUGCCCUUGUAAACCAAAGUCAAAGUAGAAGCAAAGAAAUUCAAAUAGGAGCUGAAAAUGAGUUAACUAGGCAAUGAAACAGUGAUAUAUUCUGGGUUUUUUUUAUUUUAAAUUUUUUUAAUUUUUGAAGGUUUGAAUCUAAAAAAUACAGAUCUGAAAAAUAAGGAAAAGAAGACUUCUGAGAGAUUUUUGAUUGCUGAAAAGUACUUGGAAUUUUCAGGGAGUCUAAAACUUGUUAGUGAAGGAAUUGAGGUUUCCUUUUAUAGGCAACAAAUAGGGUAGAAUGUUCUAGAUGACACUCACACAUUUUUUCUCUUUUUAUUUUAGAUUUCACCUAUUAGUCUGGGAAUUUGCAGGGAGUCUAAAACUUGUUAAUGAAGGAAUUGAGGUUGCCUUUUAUAGGCAACAAAUAGGGUAGAAUGUUUUAGAUGACACUCACACUUUUUUUCUCUUUUAGUUUCAGAUUUCACCUAUUAUUCCUUUAAUUUCUGACUUGUUUCUUAAGUUGUUGUCCUAAUCAUACUGAAUUAUACACUAAACUCCUAUUCUAGAAGGCCCUACGGUGUUCUUUUAGCUAUACAAUACCUAUACUACCCCUAUCUUGAUUAUAAAAUUACUAUUCCUCAUAAAACAACCCUUUUCUAUGUCUAAGCUACCCUUAUUUACCACCUGAAAUUGCUAAAUCCAGCUGACUACACCAAACCCCUUACCCUUGGCUAAAAUCUAACUAGUGUUAACUAAAAAGGAUAAUGUAUUCAGCUAUAUCCAAACAACCUAUUUUAAACACUACCCUAAUUAACACUAAUAUUGAAUUAACACUGAAUUAACAACUAACAUAAACUGAAUCAAAUAUGGGUCGAAUCCAGAAGGAUAAAACAAAACAAAAUCAAUAUGAACAAAUUAAAUAAGUUUACAUCUAUUCCAAAUGUGUACCUGGAAAUGGAUUUGACAGAGGAAAGAGAUCAGUUACAAUAAACAGAUGAGCAGCAGCACAAUAGUACUUGAAAACCCAGAAAAUAGAAGGAAUAGCCCGGAAACUAAUUGAAUACAGCAGGAUUAGCAACAAAUGAUUCUAGCAGUAGAGAAAAACCAAAUCAAACCCCAAUAUUAUGUCAAAACCAAAUAGGACAGCAUAAUAAACACAAAAACAGUACCAGAAUGCUUAGAUAUUCGACCCAAAUCUAAUCGACCAGCUACUAAAUACCUCCAGAUACCCUUGUAAAGUAGAAGCAAAGAAAUUCAAAUAGAAGCUGAAAAUGAGUUAACUAGGCAAUGAAACAAGGAUAUAUUCUGAUUUUCUUUUUUUGUCUUUUUUGUUUUUCUUUUUAAUGUUUUGGAUUUUUUGAAGGUUUGAAUCCAAAAAAUACAGAUCUGAAAUAUAAGGAAAAGAAGACUUCUGAGAGAUUUUUGAUGGCUAAACGGUACAUGGAAUUUUCAAGGAGUCUAAAACUUGUUAAUGAAGUCAUUGAGGUUACCUUUUAUAGGCAACAAAUAGGGUAGAAUGUUCUAGAUGACACUCACACAUUUUUUUCUUUUAAUUUCAGAUUUCACCUAUUAGUCCUUUAAUUUCUGACUUGUUUCUCAAGUUACUGUCCUGAUUUUACUGAAUUAUAUACUAAACUCCUAUUCUUGAUGGCCCUACGCUGUUCUUUUAGCUAUACAAUACCUAUACUACCCCUAUCUUGAUUUUAAAAUUACUAUUCCUCAUAAAACAACCCUUUCUAUGUCUAAGCUACCCUUAUUUACCACCUGAAAUUACUAACUCCAGCUGACUACACCAAACCCCUUACCCUUGGCUAAAAUCUAACUAGUGUUAUUUAAAAAGGAUAAUGUAUUCAGCUAUAUCAAAACAACCUAUUUUAAACACUACCCUAAUUAGCACUAAUAUUGAAUUAACACUGAAUUAACAAUUAACAACUAACAUAAAUUGAAACAAAUCUGGGUCGAACCCAGAAGGGAAAAACAAAUAAAAAUCAAUAUGAACAAAUUAACACCUUCUUUGAACAAAUUAAAAGUAAACUAAACUUUAUAGUACCAGACUUUAAACCUCUAACAACGUUUUGUGGCUAACUAUUGAACAAGGUCAAAACCCAAAUUAAUCUUCAAACGAACAGGACAGGGAGAAAUCUAUCUAAACUAAAUAUUAAUUAAACCGAUUAAGCUAUUAAAUGAAGUAACGAAAGAGGAAAGAACUUAGAAUCGACCUAAUUAUCGUACUACUAAUUAACAAUGAAACAUGGACUACACUAACGAUGGUCAAACCAAAGAAGACGAGCAAAAGAAACUGAUAAAAUAAUAAAAACUAGAAGAGAAGACUCACCCAGGUUUCCGCGUGGAUUACCUCAUCGAAAUUGAAAUCUGCUUAAUGUUAUUUGUCUAGUUAACCAAAAAUAACCAAGUAGCAUUAAUAGGGAACCAAUUCGACUAAACUCUAGUGAGCUUCGAAGAUGAUCAUGUAGAAAAUGUGUUUUUCAUUUCAUGAACAAGCUUACAUAGAUUCAAAAUGUGUACCUGGAAGGGGAUUUGAUAGAGGAAAGAGAUCAGUUACAGUAAACAGAUGAGCAGCAUCACAGUAGUACUUGAAAACCCAGAAACUAGAAGGAACAGCCCAUAAACAAAUUGAAUACUGCAGGAUUAGAAAGAGAUGAUUCCAGCAGUAGAGAAAAACCAAACCAAACCCCAGUAUUGUUUCAAAACUAAAUGGGACCUCAUAAUAAACCCAAAAACAGUACCAGAAUUCUUAGAUAUUCGACCCAAAUCUAAUCGACCAGCUACUAAAUGCCUCCAUAUACCUUUGUAAACCAAAAUCAAAGUAGAAGCAAAGAAAUUCAAAUAGGAGCUGAAAAUGAGUUAACUAGGCAAUGAAACAGUGAUAUAUUCUGGGUUUUUUUUAUUUUAAAUUUUUUUAAUUUUUGAAGGUUUGAAUCUAAAAAAUACAGAUCUGAAAAAUAAGGAAAAGAAGACUUCUGAGAGAUUUUUGAUUGCUGAAAAGUACUUGGAAUUUUCAGGGAGUCUAAAACUUGUUAGUGAAGGAAUUGAGGUUUCCUUUUAUAGGCAACAAAUAGGGUAGAAUGUUCUAGAUGACACUCACACAUUUUUUCUCUUUUUAUUUUAGAUUUCACCUAUUAGUCCUUUAAUUUCUGACUUGUUUCUCAAGUUGCUAUCAUAAUUUUACUGAAUUAUACACUAAACUCCUAUUCUAGAAGGCCCUACGCUGUUCUUUUAGCUAUACAAUACCUAUACUACCCCUAUCUUGAUUAUAAAAUUACUAUUUCUCAUAAAAUAACCCUUUUCUAUGUCUAAGCUAUCCUUAUUUACCACCUGAAAUUACUAACUCCAGCUGACUACACCAAACCCCUUACCGUUGGUUAAAAUCUAACUAGAGUUAACUAAAAAGGAUAAUGUAUUCAGCUAUAUCCAAAUAACCUAUUUUAAACACUACCCUAAAUAACAGUAAUAUUGAAGUAACACUGAAUUAACAAUUAACAACUAACAUAAACUGAAUCAAAUAUGGGUCGAAUCCAGAAGGAUAAAACAAAUCAAAAUCAAUAUGAACAAAUUAACACCUUCUUUGACCAAAUUAAAAGUAAACUAAUCUUUAUAGUACCAGACUUUAAACCUCUAACAACGUUUUAUGGCUAACUAUUGAACAAGGUCAAAACCCAAAUUAAUCUUCAAAUGAACAGGACAGGGAGAAAUCUAUCUAUACUAAAUAUUAAUUGCCGAUUAAGCUAUUAACCGAAGUAACAAAAGAGGAAAGAACUCAGAAUCGACUUAAUUAACGUACUACUAAUUAACAAAGAAACAUGGAUUACACUAACGAAGGUCAAACCAAAGAAGACGAGCAAAAGAAACUUAUAAAAUAGUAAAACUAGAAGAGAAGACUCACCCAGGUUUCCACAUAAUAUAUUAGACUAAUGAAUCAGUGAGCUUCGAAGAUGAUCAUGCAACAAAUGUGUUUUUCAUUUCAUGAAGAAGUUUACAUCGAUUCCAAAUGUGUACCUUUAAAGGGAUUUGAUAGAGGAAAGAGAUUGGCUACAAUAAACAGAUGAGCAGCAGCACAAUAGUACUUGAAAACCCAGAAAAUAGAAGGAAUAGCCCAGAAACUAAUUGAAUACUGCAGGAUUAACAACAGAUGAUUCCAGCAGUAGAGAAAAACCAAACCAAACCCCAAUAUUGUUUCAAAAUCAAAUGGGACCUCAUAAUUAACCCAAAAACAGUACCAGAAUGCUUAGAUAUUUGACCCAAAUCUAAUCGACCAGCUACUAAAUACCUUCAGAUACCCUUGUAAACCAAAAUCAAAGUAGAAGCAAAGAAAUUCAAAAAGAAGCUUAAAAUGAGUUAACUAGGCAAUGAAACAGUGAUUUAUUCUGAAUUGUUUUGAGUAUUUGUUUUUCUUUUUAAUGAUUUUUUGAAGGUUUGAAUCUAAAAAAUACAGAUCUGAAAAAUAAGGAAAAGAAGACUUCUGAGAGAUUUUUGAUGGCUGAAAGGUACAUGGAAUUUUCAGGGAGUCUAAAACUUGUUAAUGAAGGCAUUGAGGUUGCCUUUUAUAGGCAACAAAUAGGGUAGAAUGUUCUAGAUGACACUCACACAUUUUUUCUCUUUUAAUUUCAGAUUUCACCUAUUAGUCCUUUAAUUUCUGACCUGUUUCUCAAGUUGUUGUCCCAAUUUUACUGAAUUAUACACUAAACUCCUAUUCUUGAUGGCCCUACGCUGUUCUUUUAGCUAUACAAUACCUAUACUACCCCUAUAUUGAUUUUAAAAUUACUAUUCCUCAUAAAACAACCCUUUUCUAUGUCUAAGCAACCCUUAUUUACCACCUGAAAUUACUAACUCCAGCUGACUUCACCAAACCCCUUACCCUUGGCUAAAAUCUAACUAGAGUUAUUUAAAAAGGAUAAUGUAUUCAGCUAUAUCAAAACAAACUAUUUUAAACACUAAUCUAAUUAACACUAAUAUUGAAUUAACACUGAAUUAACAAUUAACAACUAACAAAAACUGAAACAAAUUUGGGUCGAACCCAGCAGGGCAAAACAAAUCAAAAUUAAUAUGAACAAAUUAACACCUUCUUUGAACAAAUUAAAAGUAAACUAAACUUUGGACUUUAAACCUCUAACAAUGUUUUAUGGCUAACUAUUGAACAAGGUCAAAACCCAAAUUAAUCUUCAAACGAACAAGACAGGGAGAAAUCUAUCUAAACUAAAUAUUAAUCUAACCGAUUAAGCUAUUAAAUGAAGUAACGAAAGAGGAAAGAACUUAGAAUCGACCUAAUUAACGUACUACUAAUUAACAAAGAAACAUGGACUACACUAACGAAGGUCAAACCAAAGAAGACGAGCAAAAGAAACUGAUAAAAUAAUAAAAACUAGAAGAGAAGACUCACCUAGAUUUCCGAAUAAAAUAUUAGACUAAUGAAUCAGUGAGCUUCGAAGAUGAUCUGGUAGCAAAUGUAUUUUUCAUUUCAUGAACGAGUUUACAUAGAUUCCGUUUCCAAAUAAAAUAUUAGACUAAUGAAUCAGUGAGCUUCGAAGAUGAUCAUGUAGAAAAUGUGUUUUUCAUUUCAUAAACGAGUUUACAACGAUUCCAAAUGUGUACCUGGAAGGGGAUUUGAUAGAGGAAAGACAUCAGUUACAGUAAACAGAUUAGCAGCAGCACGGUAGUACUUGAAAACCCAGAAACUAGAAGGAAUAGCCCAUAAAAAAAUUGAAUGCUGCAGGAUUAGCAACAGAUGAUUCCAGCAGUAGAGAAAAACCAAACCAAACCCCGGUAUUGUUUCAAAACCAAAUGGGACCUCAUAAUAAACCCAAAAACAGUACCAGAAUGCUUAGAUAUUCGACCCAAAUCUAAUAGACCAGCUACUAAAUGCCUCCAGAUACCCUCGUAUACCAAAAUCAAAGUAGAAGCAAAGAAAUUCAAAUAGGAGCUGAAAAUGAGUUAACUAGGCAAUGAAACAGUGAUAUAUUCUGGGUUUUUUUUAUUUUAAAUUUUUUUAAUUUUUGAAGGUUUGAAUCUAAAAAAUACAGAUCUGAAAAAUAAGGAAAAGAAGACUUCUUUCUUUUUUUUGUGUUUUUUGUUUUUAUUUUUAAUGUUUUGGAUUUUUUGAAGGUUUGAAUCUAAAAUAUACAAAUCUGGAAAAUAAGGAAAAGAAGACUUCUGAGAGAUUUUUGAUGGCUGAAAGGUACAUGGAAUUUUCAGGGAGUCUAAAACUUGUUAAUGAAGGCAUUGAGGUUGCCUUUUAUAGGCAACAAAUAGGGUAGAAUGUUCUAGAUGACACUCACACAUUUUUUCUCUUUUAAUUUCAGAUUUCACCUAUUAGUCCUUUAAUUUCUGACUUGUUUCUCAAGUUGCUGUCCUAAUUUUACUAAAUUAACACUAAACUCCUAUUCUAGAAGGCCCUACGGUGUUCUUUUAGCUAUACAAUACUUAUGCUACACCUAUCUUGAUUAUAAAAUUACUAUUCCUCAUAAAAUAACCCUUUUCUAUGUCUAAGCUAGCCUUAUUUACCACCUGAAACUACUAACUCCAGCUGACUACACCAAACCCCUUACCCUUGGCUAAAAUCUAACCAGAGUUAUUUAAAAAGGAUAAUAUAUUCAGCUAUAUCCAAACAACCUAUUUUAAACACUACCCUAAUUAACGCUAAUAUUGGAUUAACACUGAAUUAACAAUUAACAACUAACAUAAACUUAAUCAAAUCUGGGUCGAACCCAGAAGGACAAAACAAAUCAAAAUCAAACACUAAUAUUGGAUUAACACUGAAUUAACAAUUAACAACUAACAUAAACUAAAAAAAAUCUGGGUCGAACCGAGAGGACAACAAAUCAAAAUCAAUAUGAAAAAAUUAACACCUACUUUGAACAAAUUAAAAGUAAACUAAACUUUAUAGUACCGGACUUUAAACCUCUAACAAUGUUUUAUGGCUAACUAUUGAACAAGGUCAAAACCCAAAUUAAUCUUCAAACGAACAAGACAGGGAGAAAUCUAUCUAAACUAAAUAUUAAUCUAACCGAUUAAGCUAUUAAAUGAAGUAACGAAAGAGGAAAGAACUUAGAAUCGACCUAAUUAACGUACUAUAAAUGAACAGGACAGGGAGAAAUCUAUCUAAACUAAAGAUUAAUUGAACCGAUUAAGCUAUUAACAGAAGUAACGAAAGAGGAAAGAACUCCGAAUCGACCUAAUUAGCGUACUACUAAUAAACAAAGAAACUUGGACUACACUAACGAAGGUCAAACCAAAGAAGACGAGCAAAAGAAACCGAUAAAAUAAUAAAAACUAGAAGAGAAGACUCACCCAGGUUUCCAAAUAAAAUAUUAGACUAAUGAAUUAGUGAGCUUCGAAGAUGAUCAUGUAGAAAAUGUGUUUUUCAUUUCAUGAACAAGCUUACAUAGAUUCAAAAUGUGUACCUGGAAGGGGAUUUGAUAGAGGAAAGAGAUCAGAGCUUCGAAGAUGAUCAUGCAGCAAAUAUGUUUUUCUUUUCAUGAAGAAGUUUACAUCGAUUCCAAAUGUGUACCUGGAAAUGGAUUUGACAGAGGAAAGAGAUCAGUUACAAUAAACGGAUGAGCAGCAACACAAUAGUACUUGAAAACCCAGAAAAUAGAAGGAAUAGCCCGGAAACUAAUUGAAUACAGCAGGAUUAUAGAUGAUUCCAGUAGUAGAGAAAAACCAAAUCAAACCCCAAUAUUAUUUCAAAACCAAAUAGGACCGCAUAAUAAACACAAAAACAGUACCAGAAUGCUUAGAUAUUCAACACAAAUCUAAUCGACCAGCUACUAAAUACCUCCAGAUACCCUUGUAAUCCAAAAUCAAAGUAGAAGCAAAGAAAUUCAAAUAGAAGUUGAAAAUGAGUUAACUAGGCAAUGAAACAGUGAUAUAUUCUGAUUUUUUUUUGUGUUUUUUGUUUUUCUUUUUAAUGUUUUGGAUUUUUUGAAGGCUUGAAUCUAAUAAAUACAGAUCUGAAAAAUAAGGAAAAGAAGACUUCUGAGAGAUUUUUCAUGGCUGAAAGGUACAUGGAAUUUUCAGGGAGUCUAAAAUUGUUAAUGAAGGCAUUGAGGUUGCCUUUUAUAGGCAACAAAUAGGGUAGAAUGUUCUAGAUGACACUCACACAUUUUUUCUCUUUUAAUUUCAGAUUUCACGUAUUAGUCCUUAAAUUUCUGACUUGUUUCUCAAGUUACUGUCCUAAUUUUACUGAAUUAUACACUAAGCUCAUAUUCUUGAUGGCCCUACGCUGUUCUUUUAGCUAUACAAUACCUAUACUACCCCUAUCUUGAUUUUAAAAUUACUAUUCCUCAUAAAACAACCCUUUCUAUGUCUAAGCUACCCUUAUUUACCACCUGAAAUUACUAACUCCAGCUGACUACACCAAACCCCUUACCCUUGGCUAAAAUCUAACUAGUGUUAUUUAAAAAGGAUAAUGUAUUCAGCUAUAUCAAAACAACCUAUUUUCCUAAGCUACCCUUAUUUACCACCUGAAAUGACUAACUCCACCUUACUACACCAAACCCCUUACCCUUGGCUAAAAUCUAACUAGUGUUAUUUAAAAAGGAUAAUGUAUUCAGCUAUAUCAAAACAACAUAUUUUAAGCACUGCCCUAAUUCACACAAAUAUUGAAUUAACACUGAAUUAAUAAUUAACAACUAACAUAAACUGAAACAAAUCUGUGUCGAACCCAGAAGGGAAAAACAAAUAAAAAUCAAUAUGAACAAAUUAACACCUUCUUUGAACAAAUUAAAAGUAAACUAAUCUUUAUAGUACCGGACUUUAAACCUCUAACAACGUUAAAUGGCUAACUAUUGAACUAGGUCAAAACCCAAAUUAAUCUUCAAACGAACAGGACAGGGAGAAAUCUAUCUAAACUAAAUAUUAAUCAAACCGAUUAAGAUAUUAAAUAAAGUAACGAAAGAGGAAAGAACUUAUAAUCGACCUAAUUAACGUACUACUAAUUAACAAAGAAACAUGGACGACACUAACGAAGGUCAAACCAAAGAAGACGAGCAAAAGAAACUGAUAAAAUAAUAAAAACUAGAAGAGAAGACUCACCUAGAUUUCCGAAUAAAAUAUUAGACUAAUGAAUCAGUGAGCUUCGAAGAUGAUCUGGUAGCAAAUGUAUUUUUCAUUUCAUGAACGAGUUUACAUAGAUUCCAAAUAUGUACCUGGAAGGGGAUUUGAUAGAGGAAAGAAAUCGGUCAUAGUAAACAGAUGAGCAGCAGCACUGUAGUACUUAAAAACCCAGAAACUAGAGGGAAUAGCCCAUAAACAAAUUGAAUACUGCAGGAUUAGCAAUAGAUGAUUCCAGUAGUAGAGAAAAACCAAACCAAACCCCAGUAUUGUUUCAAAACCAAUUGGGACCUCAUAAUAAACCCAAAAACAGUACCAGAAUGCUUAGAUAUUCGACCCAAAUCUAAUCGACCAGCUACUAAAUGCCUCCAGAUGCCCUUGUAAACCAAAAUCAAUGUAGAAGCAAAGCAAUUCAAAUAGGAGCUGAAAAUGAGUUAACUAGGCAAUGACUGAUUUUUUUUGUGUUUUUUGUUUUUCUUUUUAAUGUUUUGGAUUUUUUGAAGGUUUGAAUCUAAAAACACAAAUCUGAAAAAUAAGGAAAAGAAGAAUUCUGAGAGAUUUUUGAUGGCUGAAAGGUACUGGGAAUUUUCAGGGAGUCUAAAACUCGUUUAUGAAGGCAUUGGGGUUUCCUUUUUUAGGCAACAAAUAGGGUAUAAUGUUCUAGAUGACACUCACACAUUUUUUCUCUUUUAAUUUCAGAUUUCACCUAUUAGUCCUUAAAUUUCUGACUUGUUUCUCAAGUUACUGUCCUAAUUUUACUGAAUUAUACACUAAGCUCAUAUUCUUGAUGGCCCUACGCUGUUCUUUUAGCUAUACAAUACCUAUACUACCCCUAUCUUUACUGAAUUGUACACUAAACUCCUAUUCUAGAAGGCCCUACAGUGUUCUUUUAGCUAUACAAUACCUAUACUACCCCUAUCUUGAUUUUAAAAUUACUAUUCCUCAUAAAACAACCCUUUUCUAUGUCUAAGCUACCCUUAUUUACCACCUGAAAUGACUAACUCCACCUUACUACACCAAACCCCUUACCCUUGGCUAAAAUCUAACUAGUGUUAUUUAAAAAGGAUAAUGUAUUCAGCUAUAUCAAAACAACAUAUUUUAAGCACUGCCCUAAUUCACACAAAUAUUGAAUUAACACUGAAUUAAUAAUUAACAACUAACAUAAACUGAAACAAAUCUGUGUCGAACCCAGUAACGCUAAUAUUGGAUUAACACUGAAUUAACAAUUAACAACUAACAUAAACUUAAUCAAAUCUGGGUCGAACCCAGAAGGACAAAACAAAUCAAAAUCAAUAUGAACAAAUUAACACCUUCUUUGAACAAAUUAAAAGUAAACUAAACUUUAUAGUACCGGACUUUAAACCUUUAACAAUGUUUUAUGGCUAACUAUUGAACAAGCUCAAAACCCAAAUUAAUCUUCAAAUGAUUAGGACAGGGAGAAAUCUAUCUAAACUAAAGUUAAUUAAGCUGACUAAACUAUUAACAGAAGUAACGAAAGAGGAAAGAACAUAGAAUCGACCUAAUGAACGUACUACUAAUUAACAAAGAAACAUGGACUACACUAACGAAGGUCAAACUAAAGAAGACGAGUAAAAGAAACUGAUAAAAUAAUAAAAACUAGAAGAGAAGACUCACCCAGGUUUCCAAAUAAAAUAUUAGACUAAUGAAUUAGUGAGCUUCGAAGAUGAUCAUGUAGAAAAUGUGUUUUUCAUUUCAUGAACAAGCUUACAUAGAUUCAAAAUGUGUACCUGGAAGGGGAUUUGAUUAGCUUCGAAGAUGAUCAUGCAGCAAAUGUGUUUUUCAUUUCAUGAAGGAGUUUACAUCGAUUCCAAAUGUGUACCUCGAAGGGGAUUUGACAGAGGAAAGAGAUCAGUUAUAGUAAACAGAUGAGCAGCAGCACAGUAGUACUUGAAAACCCAGAAAAAUAGAAGGAAUAGCCUAUAAACAAAUUGAAUACUGCAUGAUUAGCAACAGAUGAUUCCAGCAGUAGAGAAAAAGCAUACCAAACCCCAGUAGUACUUCAAAACCAAAUAGGACCGGAUAAUAAACCCAAAAUCAAUACCAGAAUGCUUAGAUAUUCGACCCAAAUCUAAUCGACCAGCUACUAAAUACCUCCGGAUACCCUUGUAAACCAAAAUCAAAGUAGAAGCAAAGUAAUUCAAAUAGGAGUUGAAAAUGAGUUAACUAGGCAAUGAAACAGUGAUAUAUUCUUUUUUUUUUUGUGUUUUUUGUUUUUCUUUUUAAUGUUUUGGAUUUUUUGAAGGUUUGAAUCUAAAAAAUACAGAUCUCAAAAUAAGGAAAAGAAGACUUCUAAGAGAUUUUUUAUGGCUGUAAGGUAAUGGGAAUUUUCAGGGAGUCUAAAACUUGUUAAUGAAGGAAUUGAGGUUGCCUUUUAUAGGCAACAAAUAUGUUAGAAUGUUCUAGAUGACACACACAUUUUUUCUCUUUUAAUUUCAGAUUUCACCUAUUAGUCCUUUAAUUUCUGACUUGUUUCUCAAGUUACU
Molecule: long non-coding RNA, 12204 nt
Filed under: Nicotiana benthamiana
Lineage: Eukaryota; Viridiplantae; Streptophyta; Magnoliopsida; Solanales; Solanaceae
Description: long non-coding RNA (NBEN_LNC017428)
Source: RNAcentral